This is a long non-coding RNA of Numida meleagris (helmeted guineafowl), 1331 nucleotides long. RefSeq lists it as uncharacterized. Lineage: Eukaryota; Metazoa; Chordata; Aves; Galliformes; Numididae. The transcript has 3 exons. The record is from RefSeq and is a predicted model, not a curated record.
UCCCAGCACGGCUCCAGCCCGUCCUCCGCCGCCGUUUCUCCCGCUGUCACUGGAGGGAGCUGCCUCUCCUCCAUCCGGCCCCGAGCUGCGGAGCGCGCCGGGGGGUGGAAGCAGGCGGGGGGGGGGCGGUCACGGAAAGCCGUGGAUGCGGUCACGCGCGUGUGUGGCACGAGGGGAUGUGCUGACGAGCUGUGGCUGAAUCCGCACGAGAGCAACGUUUAUCUGAACGCUGCAGGACGGGGUACACGUUGGGCAUCGUCGGGACGGGACGCACCUCGAGCCAUGGGUGCAGGUUUGGGCCCCGCAGUCAGGGGGGCACGGAACCGUCUGAGAGCAUCCUGGGCAGGGCUGCGGAGAUGGGGGAGGGUCUGAGGGCCCUGGGUUUGUGGGGCCCGGAGCAGAGGGACCCCCAUGGUGGGUGCAGCUCCUCGCAGGGAAAAACAGAACCGUGCUCUGCCAGAAAAGCUGGCAGAGCCUGAAUGUUGCCCCCCGAUUUAUACCGUGUGCGCACACCCCACCUUCGUGCGACCAUUUCAGCAUCCGGAGCACGACGCGGCACUCCGCUGCUGCGCCCGGGGGCGAAACGAGCUUGGCGUUCAGCAAAUGGAACAUUAAAAAUGUAUUUCUGAACGCAAGGGGGAGCGGAUGGAUAGCACGGGGCGGCGAGCUGCGCUCCUUGAGCAAUUGUGCUCGGGGCUGCCAUUAACCCCGCGGUUCUCUCCAGGGGAGGACGGAGCAGGAGCGGGCAGGCCAGGUGUUUGCACAGCUGCUCCGAGGGAUUUCCCGAGCCCUGUUGGUUCUUGCCUCUCGCUCCUGGAAUGAGCCGUUCUGUGGGUUUGAUGUUUUUCUUGUUGUUUCGGUGUUGUUUUCGGCUUUGUGGUAGGAUACCUGUAGUCAGGUGAAGGCACGGCGCUGUUUUGUCUGGCCCCGGUGCCAGCCUGGAUGGGCUGUGUUUGGGAAGAUCCAGGCUCCUGCUGGAUCCCCAGAUCCCUUCACAUGUAACAGCUGCCUCGAAGCUGCAAUACCGAUGGAUAUUGCUAGAUGAACAUGGAAUAAGGAAAAACCAGCUCAUGGUCACCGCUGCCCCAGGGCCUCAUUUCCAGUGGAAAAAUGUGGAUGCCUGUAAGCUUCAUGCAGACUGGAACCUACUGGUGGGGCUGGAACAGAGACUGAUAGCUCCUUACAGCUACUGGGAAUGUUCAGGCCAAGAAGACUUCGAGCACCCAAGGAGCAAAGUCUCUGAAUGCAGAGUCCUUGCACAUCUCCCCCAGAGCUACCAGUGCACUAUUAGGCAAAUAAUCCAGGCAGGACACUUACAGGCUUCUUUUUAU